GAUGAACGCUAGCUACAGGCUUAACAUAUGCAAGUCGCAGGGUAACAUGAGGAAAGCUUGCUUUCCUUGAUGACGACUGGCGCACGGGUGAGUAACGCGUAUCCAACCUUCCCAUAACUACGGGAUAACCCGUUGAAAGACGGCCUAAUACCGUAUGAUAUCGUUUGCUGACAUCAAAUAACGAUUAAAGGUUUAGCGGUUAUGGAUGGGGAUGCGUCUGAUUAGCUUGUUGGCGGGGUAACGGCCCACCAAGGCUACGAUCAGUAGGGGUUCUGAGAGGAAGGUCCCCCACAUUGGAACUGAGACACGGUCCAAACUCCUACGGGAGGCAGCAGUGAGGAAUAUUGGUCAAUGGGCGAGAGCCUGAACCAGCCAAGUAGCGUGCAGGAUGACGGCCCUAUGGGUUGUAAACUGCUUUUAUGUGGGGAUAAAGUGCGUGACGUGUCAUGCAUUGCAGGUACCACAUGAAUAAGGACCGGCUAAUUCCGUGCCAGCAGCCGCGGUAAUACGGAAGGUCCGGGCGUUAUCCGGAUUUAUUGGGUUUAAAGGGAGCGUAGGCUGUCUAUUAAGCGUGUUGUGAAAUAUACCGGCUCAACCGGUGGCUUGCAGCGCGAACUGGUCGACUUGAGUAUGCAGGAAGUAGGCGGAAUUCAUGGUGUAGCGGUGAAAUGCUUAGAUAUCAUGACGAACUCCGAUUGCGCAGGCAGCUUACUGUAGCAUAACUGACGCUGAUGCUCGAAAGUGCGGGUAUCAAACUG
Molecule: ribosomal RNA, 758 nt
Filed under: uncultured Prevotella sp.
Lineage: Bacteria; Pseudomonadati; Bacteroidota; Bacteroidia; Bacteroidales; Prevotellaceae
Description: bacterial SSU rRNA
Rfam family: Bacterial small subunit ribosomal RNA
Source: RNAcentral